UAGGGAAUAUUGCAAAAUGGGCGAAAGCCCGAUGCAGCAACACCGCGUGGGCGAUGAAGGCCUUCGGGUCGUAAAGCCCUUUUUGAGGGGAUGAGGAAGGACAGUACCCCCAGAAUAAGCCUCGGCUAACUACGUGCCAGCAGCCGCGGUAAAACGUAGGAGGCGAGCGUUAUCCGGAUUUACUGGGCGUAAAGCGCGUGUAGGCGGUCUGGUUAGUUGGAUGUGAAAGCUCCCGGCUUAACUGGGAGAGGUCGUUCAAUACUGCCAGACUAGAGAGUGGUAGAGGGAGAUGGAAUUCCGGGUGUAGUGGUGAAAUGCGUAGAUAUCCGGAGGAACACCAGUGGCGAAAGCGAUCUCCUGAACCAUUUCUGACGCUCAGACGCGAAAGCUAGGGUAGCAAACG
RNAcentral lists this ribosomal RNA (403 nucleotides) under uncultured bacterium. RNAcentral describes it as "bacterial SSU rRNA". It matches the Rfam family "Bacterial small subunit ribosomal RNA", at positions 355 to 774 of the family's 1533-position model. The record is from RNAcentral.